GACGAACCGUCCAAACGUUAUUCGGAAUCACUGGGCUUAAAGGGUGCGUAGGCGGCCGUGCAAGUCGGGUGUGAAAUCCCUCGGCUCAACCGAGGAAUUGCGCCCGAAACUGUGCGGCUAGAGGGAGACAGAGGUGAGCGGAACUUAGGGUGGAGCGGUGAAAUGCGUUGAUAUCCUAAGGAACACCAGUGGCGAAGGCGGCUCACUGGGUCUCUUCUGACGCUGAGGCACGAAAGCUAGGGGAGCGAACGGG
This 253-nucleotide ribosomal RNA is filed under the name uncultured bacterium. RNAcentral describes it as "partial 16S ribosomal RNA". It matches the Rfam family "Bacterial small subunit ribosomal RNA", at positions 524 to 776 of the family's 1533-position model. The record is from RNAcentral.